This 468-nucleotide ribosomal RNA is filed under the name uncultured bacterium. Its description in RNAcentral is "partial 16S ribosomal RNA". It matches the Rfam family "Bacterial small subunit ribosomal RNA", at positions 28 to 507 of the family's 1533-position model. The record is from RNAcentral.
GACGAACGCUGGCGGCGUGCUUAACACAUGCAAGUCGAACGGAAAGGCCCUGCUUUUGUGGGGUGCUCGAGUGGCGAACGGGUGAGUAACACGUGAGUAACCUGCCCUUGACUUUGGGAUCACUUCAGGAAACUGGGGCUAAUACCGGAUAGGAGCUCCUGCUGCAUGGUGGGGGUUGGAACGUUUCGGCGGUUGGGGAUGGACUCGCGGCUUAUCAGCUUGUUGGUGGGGUAGUGGCUUACCAAGGCUUUGACGGGUAGCCGGCCUGAGAGGGUGACCGGCCACAUUGGGACUGAGAUACGGCCCAGACUCCUACGGGAGGCAGCAGUGGGGAAUAUUGCACAAUGGGCGGAAGCCUGAUGCAGCAACGCCGCGUGCGGGAUGACGGCCUUCGGGUUGUAAACCGCUUUCGCCUGUGACGAAGCGUGAGUGACGGUAAUGGGUAAAGAAGCACCGGCUAACUACGUG